AGUCGCUAGCUUCCUGAUGGUAGCUACAAAGAUUCACCCUCUCAUUUUCUCUCAGUGAGAUGAACCCUCUCAUUUUCUAAUGAAAUUCGUAUACUUAGCCAAAAAAAAUCAAUGAUCGCACGCUUAUACUUUCUCUUCUUCGUGACUUUGUCGAUGACUGGAUGUACGUUUAAAAUUUAAACCAGACGUGAUCUAGCUACGAUAAUGACCACUAAAUUGGUUUUG
This 225-nucleotide long non-coding RNA is filed under the name Brassica napus (rape). Its description in RNAcentral is "long non-coding RNA (BNAP_LNC007313)". Lineage: Eukaryota; Viridiplantae; Streptophyta; Magnoliopsida; Brassicales; Brassicaceae. The record is from RNAcentral.